UCUUCCCUCUGGCGGCGUGCCUAAUACAUGCAAGUCGAGCGAACGGACGAGAAGCUUGCUUCUCUGAUGUUAGCGGCGGACGGGUGAGUAACACGUGGAUAACCUACCUAUAAGACUGGGAUAACUUCGGGAAACCGGAGCUAAUACCGGAUAAUAUUUUGAACCGCAUGGUUCAAAAGUGAAAGACGGUCUUGCUGUCACUUAUAGAUGGAUCCGCGCUGCAUUAGCUAGUUGGUAAGGUAACGGCUUACCAAGGCAACGAUGCAUAGCCGACCUGAGAGGGUGAUCGGCCACACUGGAACUGAGACACGGUCCAGACUCCUACGGGAGGCAGCAGUAGGGAAUCUUCCGCAAUGGGCGAAAGCCUGACGGAGCAACGCCGCGUGAGUGAUGAAGGUCUUCGGAUCGUAAAACUCUGUUAUUAGGGAAGAAAAUAUGUGUAAGUAACUGUGCACAUCUUGACGGUACCUAAUCAGAAAGCCACGGCUAACUACGUG
RNAcentral lists this ribosomal RNA (497 nucleotides) under uncultured bacterium. RNAcentral's name for it is "partial 16S ribosomal RNA". It matches the Rfam family "Bacterial small subunit ribosomal RNA", at positions 36 to 507 of the family's 1533-position model. The record is from RNAcentral.